AUGCUACUAGAAGGAAGGAGAGGCAGCAUGAUCAGGAGUUCAGGACUGUACCCGCUCUGCGAGGCUGUGGCUGUCAGUGGCCUGGCCUCUCCUUGCCCGGACAUGGACGUAGUCCUUGGGGGGCUCCGCCGGCUUGGCAUUCUUCCCCUUGCCGCCCUUCCUCUGCUCGCCGUCCUCCACCGAGCUGUCGCUCCCGGCCUGCUCCGCCUUGGGCUUCACCUUCUUCUCGGCGUCGCCCGUCCUGCACCUCUUGCCGUCCGCCUCCUUCUGCUCCCCGACCUGCAAGGCACAACACAAUUGACGCGGCUUGGUCAGCGUCAAUGGCGGGCGAGUCCCCCAAUUGGCGAAGAAAGACAGAGCCAAGCUCUGCUCACCUGGCAAGAGGUGCUGAGGGAAGGCUCCUUGGCCUUGCCUUUGCCCGCGGGCGCCUUCCUCUUCUUGGCAUUGGCGUCCUUCAUCGCCGAGGCAGGGUCGGACACGGAGGACGCCUCCCGCGAGCCGCCGAACUCGCCCGGCGGCGGCAUCCCGAAGAGGCCCGGCGCGAAGUGCUGGCCGUUGAAGCUGGACAGCCGCGCCGCCCGCUCCGCGAACCCCGGGUCGCCGCAGAACUUGUCCAGGCAGUCCCCGCCCGCCGCCACGGCGCCGUCCAGCACGCCGAAGUCGAGCAUCGGCGACGAGGUGAGGAGGCUGGUAAUGUAG
This 699-nucleotide ribosomal RNA is filed under the name Triticum aestivum (bread wheat). RNAcentral describes it as "partial small subunit ribosomal RNA". Lineage: Eukaryota; Viridiplantae; Streptophyta; Magnoliopsida; Poales; Poaceae. The record is from RNAcentral.